RNAcentral lists this long non-coding RNA (1166 nucleotides) under Capsicum annuum. RNAcentral's name for it is "long non-coding RNA (CANN_LNC007890)". The record is from RNAcentral. Lineage: Eukaryota; Viridiplantae; Streptophyta; Magnoliopsida; Solanales; Solanaceae.
AAGUACUACAAAUUGCAGUAAUUAACAACUUUAAGAAAUUUAAAGAUCAUACAAACAUCUUUAAAUUAUAUAGAAAAUUUGGUUGACUCUCUAAAUUACAUCAGUGACACAUAAAUUCAAACAAUAAAAGUAACAUGUAUUGUCUAAAAAUUAUAUAAAAGUAUUGUAUAUCAUUAAAAACUUAAAAUAUUUAAAGAUCGUACAGAAAAUAUAAUUGACUCUUUAAAAUUUAUCUACAUCAUAUAACUUGAGACCAAAAAGUAACAUAUGUUGGGUUCGUGCUUGCAGGGGCUCUUGAUCUAGUAUUAUACAAGUGGCUUGAAGCCUUGAAGCAGGCAGGACACUGUUGUCCUGCCAACUUAUUGAAGGGUAGUUGUGUCAUUUCUCAAUAAUUUCAACCACCACAAAACCCCAUUUCAAAGGACAUAUUUGUCAUUUUACAAAAAUUUCAACCAUCACAAAACUUCAUUUGACGACGACGAUGGCGACAUAACGGCGAAGAUACAAGUGACUUGAAGCAGAGCUUACUAUAGGGUAUUUAUGUAAUUUCUCAACAAUUUCAACCACCACAAAAUCCCAUUCCAAAGGACCCCUGUGUCAUUUUACAAAAAUUUCAACCACCAUAAAACUCUAUUUGACGACGACGAUAACGACAUAAUGGUGAAGAAGAAGCGAAAGGGUAGAUCUCAAAUCUUAUAAGAGCCACAAAGCACGGUUGUUUGCCAGCUUAACAGUAGAGCAUUUUUUGUCAUUUUAACACAAUUUCAACCACCAAAAAAAUUUCAUUUUGAAAUUCAAUGUCGUCAAUAAACAAUGGUUAGGGUGGAAGAGAUGUUGUAGUAGAUAGAGAAGAAGACUAACCGGCCAUGGUAUUGCUGCAUAUGUUAGGUGUAAGAAAAAAUAUGAAGGGAAGGAAAAGGAGAUAUAGGCUAGCCCGCUAAUUUCGAAAAGGAAAAUUCAGUGAUACCAACGAUACAAGCAUACAUCCAAUAAAAAAUUGGAGAUGUAUAAUAUGAAAUCAUUCUGAGAAGGAACCAUACUUGAUUCAGAUCUUAGUUUUGAUCUUCUUCUUUUCUUGAUUAACAGAGAAGAAAAGAAGGAUAGAAAGACCCUAGGAAGAGAGUUAGAGAAAGCAGGACACGACCACAUAUUUUGUUGAAUGUGUA